ACACUGAUACCCUUACUGCCUGCUGUUUAUGCUGCAUCAAGUAAGUGUUCAUUCCUGAAAACGCAGUUCGAUCAACCUUUCUAGUUCUUUGAUUUUUCCAUCAGAGAAAAUACCAGUGCAGGUAUCAGAUAAUGGAGAAGAAGCCAAGCUAUGGCUUAACCCAUAUUUUGAAUCCUGAACCUUUAAAUUUGCAGCCAAAGAAAAGAGAGAUCCAUGAUGGAGGACUUGAGUGUGAGAUAUGAAUUGACGGGGGAAGGGCUAAGGAACAUGGGACCAAUUAUGGCCUUUACGGUAAUCAUCUGUCUCAGUGUACUCAUUUUCUCUCCAUCUUUCAGUCCAAUAAUUCAACACUGAUUACACGUUUCAUUGUGAUCAAUUCCAAUUGAGAGCUUUGCUAAACAAGCAAUUGUCAACUUCACAUCAUUUCACGCUCGGGAUCCGAUGGGAAACACUAAGAAGAGUCUUUGGAAUGAUGCUUCAUGAAUUUGUUUCCAUGUCCUCUCUCCAAGUCAAAACAUGUGGGCUUCUUCUCUCUUGUUGGGGGCCCUCAAAAGUUCUAAUAAUGUUAUAGUUAGCAGGUUAGGGAUGCUUACGCUUAUGAUUCUUCAUCAUGCAAGCCGAAGAUACAAACAAAUCUAGUCCAGGGUAAAUUUCAUCUUAAUUUUUUACAGGUUUUUUUUUUCAAUUAUUAUCUUGUAAAUAACUUCUGCUUUCACCAAGAGUUAGACUGUUAACAGCCUAAACCGUUGUUGAAACAGAAGUUAUCCAUAAGAUAUUAAUUGUGAAUAAUUGAUGUUUGUAAGGUGUUAAUUUAAAUUAAAAAGAAAUCAUUGGGUGUCAUGUGAGGAAGAUUGAAAUCAUAAAGGGUGUUGGUAGAAUUUAUCCAAAGAUUUAAAGUAAGACAAAUUUCAACAGUAAAGAUCAGAGAAAUGAUUAUUUAGAUGGGGCAAGAGCUGCCAUACGCAAGUCCAUGAGAAGAAACAAACUAUACUAAAAUAUAUUUGUUGAAACCUAAACCUACAGCAGAAAAGAUGAAGAUGCCUUUUAUAAAGAAAAAUGUGUUUGUUUUCUUCAAAAGGCAAAGACCCCAGUUUCUGAAACACAAGAACAAUAAACAAAUAAGAAAAAAACAAUAAAGAAAUGGGGAAGUGAGCACUGGUAGCCCUUGAAAACUGCAUUUGAUAUGGACAUUAGCAAUCUAAUCUUUAGAAGAGGAAAAAAGGAAAAGAAGAAAAGGGAAAACAGCCUAAGUAGAGAGUCAAAUGUAAGAUCCUGAAAAUGAGGUCCCUUGGGAGACAAUGUUUGAGGUUAGGUUUAGUUUUAAAUUAUUGUUUAUCUGUUGGAAAUUGAGUGUCAUUGGCUGGAAUAGUCUGGGAUUUGGACUGGAAUGGACCAGGUCGGUGCCAAUGACUUGAACCAUUCAUCCACUUCCAAAACCUCUAAAAUGCCCUUCAAUUUUAAUCACAUGAUGAAUCAUUAAUAUUAAUUCCAUGUAUUGCUUUCUACUGUAUGCAUGCUUGAGAGCACAUCAGAGAUCAACAUGUCUGACUUUCUCUUAGCCAAUGUAGUUUGAAAAGCGUACUUAGGUAAUUUGGUUAACUUCCCAAGACAAACUUAUGUGGGAACAUGGUUUGUAGUUUUCUUCUUGCACUGUUAUUAUCAUUGUGGGGGCAACUUGGUUAUCAAAAUUAUUAGACAAGUGCUAGCUGCUUCAAUGGGAAAAAAGUUGCCCAAGCAAAAAGUCUUAGAUCCCUCUCAUUGUCAAUGCAAUGGAAUUUGACCAAAUAAUUUUUCACUUUUACACAAAAAAAAAAAAAAACACCAUUUGAAUAUUUGGCUUUCCUUCCCUAUAUAUUCUACCAACUUCAGCUGCUGGUCCAAACUCUCGUCCCUCUAUCCUUAUUCUCCACCUUUAGCUUUUGUUGUGAAAGAGAGACCAUGUUCUCAAGGGGUUUAGCAGGGUGUCUUUUAUUGAUAUUGCUGAGUGUUUCAGCUCUACAACAUGGAGUCUUGGGAGCAAGGUUUCUAACAGAGAAGUUGGAAGAUCAAGACCAGAAGCCUGAUGAGAAAACCUGGAAGGAAAAUCCUGACAAUGGGACUGUUGGCUUUUUUGCAACUGUUAACAGAGAAGUACCCUCUUGCCCUGAUCCACUGCACAACAGGUAGCAAUGCAAGCAACUGAUAACUAUUUCUAUAAUUUUUGGUGAAGCUGUAUAUAUACAAAGUGGAAGCUGUUGGUUAUAGCUCUUACAAAACCUGGAGACUAUUGUUUUUUGUUUUCUUCUAUUUUAAUUUUCUUAUAUUUUUCAAUUUAUAUAUUCAUAGUUCCUUUUUAGGAAUUCUAAGAAAUGAAACUCUUUGGUUUGUGUGAGACUUGUAUGUGCAGCUGCAAAACUGCAAAAAAUAAUAGGAAAAUUAAAGCAUAUAUAUUGGCU
Molecule: long non-coding RNA, 2435 nt
Filed under: Theobroma cacao (cacao)
Lineage: Eukaryota; Viridiplantae; Streptophyta; Magnoliopsida; Malvales; Malvaceae
Description: long non-coding RNA (TCAC_LNC003613)
Source: RNAcentral